UGAGUAACACGUGGGCAACCUGCCUGUAAGACUGGGAUAACUCCGGGAAACCGGGGCUAAUACCGGAUAACUCAACGAACCGCAUGGUUCGGUGUUAAAAGAUGGCUUCUGCUAUCACUUACAGAUGGGCCCGCGGCGCAUUAGCUAGUUGGUGAGGUAACGGCUCACCAAGGCAACGAUGCGUAGCCGACCUGAGAGGGUGAUCGGCCACACUGGGACUGAGACACGGCCCAGACUCCUACGGGAGGCAGCAGUAGGGAAUCAUCCGCAAUGGACGAAAGUCUGACGGUGCAACGCCGCGUGAGUGAUGAAGGUCUUCGGAUCGUAAAACUCUGUUGUUAGGGAAGAACACGUGCUGUUCGAAUAGGGCAGUGCCUUGACGGUACCUAACCAGAAAGCCACGGCUAACUACGUGCCAGCAGCCGCGGUAAUACGUAGGUGGCAAGCGUUGUCCGGAAUUAUUGGGCGUAAAGCGCGCGCAGGCGGUUUCUUAAGUCUGAUGUGAAAGCCCACAGCUCAACUGUGGAGGGUCAUUGGAAACUGGGGAACUUGAGUACAGAAGAGGAGAGCGGAAUUCCACGUGUAGCGGUGAAAUGCGUAGAUAUGUGGAGGAACACCAGUGGCGAAGGCGGCUCUCUGGUCUGUGACUGACGCUGAGGCGCGAAAGCAUGGGUAGCGAACAGGAUUAGAUACCCUGGUAGUCCAUGCCGUAAACGAUGAGUGCUAGGUGUUAGGGGGUCCAACCCUUAGUGCUGCAGUUAACGCAAUAAGCACUCCGCCUGGGGAGUACGGCCGCAAGGCUGAAACUCAAAGGAAUUGACGGGGGCCCGCACAAGCGGUGGAGCAUGUGGUUUAAUUCGACGCAACGCGAAGAACCUUACCAGGUCUUGACAUCUUCGGACCGCCCUAGAGAUAGGGUCUUCCCUUCGGGGACCGAAUGACAGGUGGUGCAUGGUUGUCGUCAGCUCGUGUCGUGAGAUGUUGGGUUAAGUCCCGCAACGAGCGCAACCCUUAACCUUAGUUGCCAGCAUUCAGUUGGGCACUCUAAGGUGACUGCCGGUGACAAACCGGAGGAAGGUGGGGAAUGACGUCCAAAUCAUCAUGCCC
Molecule: ribosomal RNA, 1107 nt
Filed under: Alkalibacillus filiformis
Lineage: Bacteria; Bacillati; Bacillota; Bacilli; Caryophanales; Bacillaceae
Description: bacterial SSU rRNA
Rfam family: Bacterial small subunit ribosomal RNA
Source: RNAcentral